AGGAGGAGAGACCUCUGCUUGGCAAUGACUGUUAACAACACUCGCAGCAAUAAACGGAUGUGAUGGAGCUUCGCCACAGUUCGUUAAUUAUGCAGUAUUCCUUAAGGAGGAUUUUGGAGAAAGAGGGAAAUAUAAGAAGAUGAAGAAGAAGAAGAAUGGAAGGAACAUAAAACGAAAGCAGAAGUGAAAGAGAGAGAAAAUGAAACAAACAGACAAGACUAACAACAACAACAACAAAAGCGAUAAUUCAGUGUUUCAGAAAAAUGUGUAUUUUUUAUAAGUUUAUAAAUAAGAUGAAAGAUAAUAUUUCAGGAAAAUGAUUAAAAAAAGGAAAGAAAGAAAUGAAUUAGGAAAAUGAAAUAAAGCAAAAAAAAUAAAAAUAAAAAAAAGUGUUGAUGUUGAAGACGCAGAAGCCAAGAAAAUGGAAGACAGGUGAGAAGAUCUUUUAAGACUCUGCAGAAAGACCG
Penaeus indicus is the source of this 467-nucleotide long non-coding RNA. RefSeq lists it as uncharacterized. NCBI's taxonomy places the organism in Eukaryota, Metazoa, Arthropoda, Malacostraca, Decapoda, Penaeidae. The transcript has 3 exons. The record is from RefSeq and is a predicted model, not a curated record.